AGUGAACGCUGGCGGUAGGCCUAACACAUGCAAGUCGAACGGCAGCACAGUAAGAGCUUGCUCUUACGGGUGGCGAGUGGCGGACGGGUGAGGAAUACAUCGGAAUCUACUUUUUCGUGGGGGAUAACGUAGGGAAACUUACGCUAAUACCGCAUACGACCUACGGGUGAAAGCAGUGGAUCUUCGGACCUUGCGCGAUUGAAUGAGCCGAUGUCGGAUUAGCUAGUUGGCGGGGUAAAGGCCCACCAAGGCGACGAUCCGUAGCUGGUCUGAGAGGAUGAUCAGCCACACUGGAACUGAGACACGGUCCAGACUCCUACGGGAGGCAGCAGUGGGGAAUAUUGGACAAUGGGCGCAAGCCUGAUCCAGCCAUACCGCGUGUGUGAAGAAGGCCUUCGGGUUGUAAAGCCCUUUUGUUGGGAAAGAAAAGCAGCAGGUUAAUACCCCGCUGUUCUGACGGUACCCGAAGAAUAAGCACCGGCUAACUUCGUG
Molecule: ribosomal RNA, 492 nt
Filed under: uncultured bacterium
Lineage: Bacteria
Description: partial 16S ribosomal RNA
Rfam family: Bacterial small subunit ribosomal RNA
Source: RNAcentral